GUGCGCCCCCGGCGGCCC
RNAcentral lists this small nuclear RNA (18 nucleotides) under Arabidopsis thaliana (thale cress). Its description in RNAcentral is "snRNA_16677". The record is from RNAcentral. Lineage: Eukaryota; Viridiplantae; Streptophyta; Magnoliopsida; Brassicales; Brassicaceae.